UUUCUACAGGCUUAACACAUGCAAGUCGAGGGGCAUCAGGAAGAAAGCUUGCUUUCUUUGCUGGCGACCGGCGCACGGGUGAGUAACACGUAUCCAACCUGCCCUUUACUCGGGGAUAGCCUUUCGAAAGAAAGAUUAAUACCCGAUAGCAUAAUGAUUCCGCAUGGUUUCAUUAUUAAAGGAUUCCGGUAAAGGAUGGGGAUGCGUUCCAUUAGGUUGUUGGUGAGGUAACGGCCCACCAAGCCUUCGAUGGAUAGGGGUUCUGAGAGGAAGGUCCCCCACAUUGGAACUGAGACACGGUCCAAACUCCUACGGGAGGCAGCAGUGAGGAAUAUUGGUCAAUGGGCGCUAGCCUGAACCAGCCAAGUAGCGUGAAGGAUGAAGGCUCUAUGGGUCGUAAACUUCUUCUAUAUAAGAAUAAAGUGCAGUAUGUAUACUGUUUUGUAUGUAUUAUAUGAAUAAGGAUCGGCUAACUCCGUGCCAGCAGCCGCGGUAAUACGGAGGAUCCGAGCGUUAUCCGGAUUUAUUGGGUUUAAAGGGAGCGUAGGUGGACUGGUAAGUCAGUUGUGAAAGUUUGCGGCUCAACCGUAAAAUUGCAGUUGAUACUGUCAGUCUUGAGUACAGUAGAGGUGGGCGGAAUUCGUGGUGUAGCGGUGAAAUGCUUAGAUAUCACGAAGAACUCCGAUUGCGAAGGCAGCUCACUGGACUGCAACUGACACUGAUGCUCGAAAGUGUGGGUAUCAAACAGGAUUAGAUACCCUGGUAGUCCACACAGUAAACGAUGAAUACUCGCUGUUUGCGGUAUACAGUAAGCGGCCAAGCGAAAGCAUUAAGUAUUCCACCUGGGGAGUACGCCGGCAACGGUGAAACUCAAAGGAAUUGACGGGGGCCCGCACAAGCGGAGGAACAUGUGGUUUAAUUCGAUGAUACGCGAGGAACCUUACCCGGGCUUAAAUUGCAGUGGAAUGAUGUGGAAACAUGUCAGUGAGCAAUCACCGCUGUGAAGGUGCUGCAUGGUUGUCGUCAGCUCGUGCCGUGAGGUGUCGGCUUAAGUGCCAUAACGAGCGCAACCCUUAUCUUUAGUUACUAACAGGUUAUGCUGAGGACUCUAGAGAGACUGCCGUCGUAAGAUGUGAGGAAGGUGGGGAUGACGUCAAAUCAGCACGGCCCUUACGUCCGGGGCUACACACGUGUUACAAUGGGGGGUACAGAAGGCAGCUAGCGGGUGACCGUAUGCUAAUCCCAAAAUCCUCUCUCAGUUCGGAUCGAAGUCUGCAACCCGACUUCGUGAAGCUGGAUUCGCUAGUAAUCGCGCAUCAGCCACGGCGCGGUGAAUACGUUCCCGGGCCUUGUACACACCGCCCGUCAAGCCAUGGGAGCCGGGGGUACCUGAAGUACGUAACCGCAAGGAUCGUCCUAGGGUAAAACUGGUGACUGGGGCU
This 1442-nucleotide ribosomal RNA is filed under the name uncultured organism. RNAcentral's name for it is "SSU rRNA". It matches the Rfam family "Bacterial small subunit ribosomal RNA". The record is from RNAcentral.